GCCUGAGUGGCUUAGUCGGUUAAGCGUCUGACUUCGGCUCAGGUCAUGAUCUCACAGUUGGUGAGUUCGAGCCUUGUGUCGGGCU
This 85-nucleotide transfer RNA is filed under the name Felis catus (domestic cat). It matches the Rfam family "tRNA". Rfam says of the family: Transfer RNA (tRNA) molecules are approximately 80 nucleotides in length. Their secondary structure includes four short double-helical elements and three loops (D, anti-codon, and T loops). Further hydrogen bonds mediate the characteristic L-shaped molecular structure. tRNAs have two regions of fundamental functional importance: the anti-codon, which is responsible for specific mRNA codon recognition, and the 3' end, to which the tRNAs corresponding amino acid is attached (by aminoacyl-tRNA synthetases). tRNAs cope with the degeneracy of the genetic code in two manners: having more than one tRNA (with a specific anti-codon) for a particular amino acid; and 'wobble' base-pairing, i.e. permitting non-standard base-pairing at the 3rd anti-codon position. The record is from Rfam by way of RNAcentral. Lineage: Eukaryota; Metazoa; Chordata; Mammalia; Carnivora; Felidae.